RNAcentral lists this long non-coding RNA (11844 nucleotides) under Xyrichtys novacula (pearly razorfish). The record is from RNAcentral. Lineage: Eukaryota; Metazoa; Chordata; Actinopteri; Labriformes; Labridae.
AGACUCUUUCUUCAGGUUUCCUGUUAGCUGCCAGCUUGUGUGAAACAGGCUGGUGGGAGGGUUAGAGAGCGACCCCAGGGAGUAAAGAGCAGGGCUCUCAAGUCUCACGCAUUCAGUGUGUGACACACGCAUUCCCACCCGUUCACACGCUCACACGCCACACAUUGUAUUUCUCACGCAUUUAAAUGAACAUGGUGAUGUCCACCAAGUUGCACCUCUUUAACUAUGGAACAGGUAGGAAUCAACUGAGUUCCUCCGAGAGUUCAGCCAAUCAAAUAAAGUAUAUCUACUGAACAGCCAAUAAAAAAGCAGCAUUGCUGUAUCCGGGUAGAUUUUGAUAUCUUACGGUUUGACUACAGAAGAAGACAGACACUCGCCGUAAUAGAGCAGGUUUUUAUAAGGACGAGAUAGACCCGAUGAUUACAGUAAGUCAGUAACCUACACAUGCAGAGACCUCGACACCUCAUGGCAUAUAAACUCAUAUGAUAAACUAAAGCCCUAUGCUAUUGCUAUUAACAGCUGUAUUGACGGAUUUAGCCUCUGUACAGCCAUUUCCAGCCAUUUUCCCCUCCACAAAAGCAGCAUUUCUCAUAUAGGCCUAUCUUAAAUAUAAGUUGUGAUACUCAUGACAGUGUAAUGCUCAUGUACCAAAGGAUUAAGUAGCUCCAUGUUUGUGAAACCUAUACUAAAGUACAAUUCAUCUAAAUGCUCCACAAUGCUGAUUUUAACAACUCUCCUUCACAACAGGUAACUUUACGACUUAAUACUGAUAUUAAUGACUUUAUUCUCCCAAAUAAUAACUUUAUUCUUUAAGAUUUAAAAACGUUUUUUUUUUCUUAUUGUGCCCCUUAUACUCCGUUGUAUUUAAGAGAUAAUUAUACUAAUAAUUAUCUUCAAUCACGAAAAAUAACCUCAACUUUACUUAGAGAGAUAUUUAUAUUCCAUUGAGAUUAAAGUAAAUUAAAGAUAAUAUUAAACUUUUAGAUAUAACCUACCAGUGUAAGGGUUUUUCUAAAGUAAACAGCAUUUUAAAUCUCCAUGGUAACCUGUAACGAUGUAAAAACUUUAAAUCAUUACAAGCAAAAGAGAGCGGUCAUUUCUGAAGAUCAAAUCUGAAGAGAACAGCACGAAAAACUUAAGCGGCUCACGACCUUACAACUUUUGACGGCUUCAUAGAAAAUAAAACCUCACCAGACGACUAAGGACUCGGACUAACACCUCUAACCAACACCUGAACAGAAAGGACAACAUCUACGACAUGGAGACCGUAAGAUUUCAUGACAAUAUUAUCAUACAAACUUGUGUUACUGUCGAGACUUUCGUGAUGGUUAAGCGAUGCAUCGACAAUGAUUAAAUGUGUGCAUGGAUAUUUACAGUGUUUAUGACUUUAAUGUGACAGGCAUUAUCAAAACUAGAAAAAAUUGCAUUUCCUUGCAGAAAAUGCGUGGAAAUGCUGAGUGAUUGUAAGGAUGCCUAGCCCAGGUUCACACUAGAAAGAAUCGAAGGUCCACACGAAUGAUCAUUUUGACAAGCUUUACUGAUUACAUAUCUGGGUUACAGCUUCAGCAGGCCACAAGUGUGACCAACAGUGGUCCUCUCCAAGUGUAGCAAAGAGUGACCACCCCAAGUGUAGCAAAAAGCGGUCCACCCCCAAGUGUGGCCAACAUGAGUGUAGCCAAGAGUGGUCCAAGACCAUUCAAGUAUAUAUAGCGAUUCACAAUCCUAAACAUACUGUUGGUAUUUAGUUGACCCUAAGAGAAAACCAUGUAUGGUAAAAACAAAGGACAACAUAUUUCAAAAGCCUUAGAUGAACAUGUGGAAGGUCCCAAGAAGGAAAUAUCAUGGCAAACAUAUUUUGGGGACCUACAUGGUGUAAAUAAUGUGUACAGGGUUCCUUGCUCAGGGAUGGUUGUAGGAGGCCCCCGGCUCCAGCAAUCUAACACCAAAGUGUCUGGGGUAUUUGAGUGACACAGCUCCACCACUCUAAAGGCUGACAUGACUGGCUAAAGAAACUCAUCCUAACAGUCCUCACUUUUUUUUUUUUUUUUUUUUUUAAACAUGCCAAUUGUUCAUAAAUAAUUGCUGCUGGAACAGAUGAUAAAUAAGACUGGUGACCAGGGUCACUUAAAACAAAAGAGUGGAUUGAUGAAACAAACAUAAGAAGGGUCAGCCACCCAAACCAGCCCACAAAGGGUCGUCAGAUUUGAGGCCACCCUCUACCCUAGACCAACAAUUGAACCAGCUAAACCCUACAAAACCAUGAACAAAAGCCGCGAAAACAGAACUUAUCAAUCCACCUGAAAGUAAUCUAGGUGAUAACUUUAUAUUGCAACUAAAGUAAAGCAUGUUCUUUUAACUCAGUGGAGUGAUGUAUCUUGUGUCAGCUAAUACGUGGUGGAGAAUGAUACUUUUACACUAGAAUCUCUGAAGUGGUGACCGACACUGUGAUCACAUGGGGAACAUCAUAUAUGGUCAGGAUAUAUGCCAUCCCAUCGUUGGAAUCUCCUGAUGACUCAGAUGACUCAGAAUCGGAGACCCACGGUUUCCAUUUGAAUGGGGAAGAGAUAAGGGCAUACGCUGUUUGGACUGGAUCCUGCACAAAAGACGUAUUGACAACAUCACAAACAGAUUAUGAUUAGUGUACAGAAAAUGGAAGUUCUCUGGAAUCCUUGAGAGAUUUGGCUGCUAAGACUAAAAAUCUAGUGUAAAUUUUAGCAGGCCUUAUGACGAAUUGGUAAUUGUUAACAUUUUUAUCUGAGGUUUCUUCUCUUUCUUGGUCAAACCUAGCAGUUUAAGCAAUCCAUAAAGAGGCACAUGCAUCUUCCUAGUCAUAGUUCUUUUGACAUGAGUCAUUAGCCUUUGGAUUGUUUGACUAUUCUACCCCCUUUUCUUCACAUGUCCACCAAACGUUGAGCUGUCCUUCCAGUCCUAGAGAGAAAAACAACUCACAGAUAGAGAUGUCGUUAGUAACAACUGUACAAAUUGCAUUCGUGACACUAUGAAUGUAAGCUAGGAGUAAAUCGUACGCUAGUUAAGGGAGCGUAAUCUGUUGCCCAUCAUAUUUUUAUAAUACAUCAGCAACCCUGUUACACUUCUUUAUCUGUUAUAUGUUUACUUUAAAAUCAGUGGCCCGGCUUUAAAGCAAAAUUAAGUCAUCAACGGAAAACGGCGGCACAGAAGGUUGUAUGGAUGGGAACUAGGAACCAAUCAAGGAGGAAAUGGUGCAUCAAGUGCCGCUUUUUCUUUUGCAAAUUGUCUGCUAAUUUUCGUUGUCUCUGGUCACUUCUUUGUCAGAUAGUAAAUGUGUUGUUACAUUUCACAAUAGCGUGUAGGAUACAACAUCUUAAUUUUGAUUAUCAACAAGUGCAUAACCUGCCAUUGUAGGGUCUACGCGCAGAACCAUAAAAUCAUAGUUCUCCAGUGGAGUCUGUUGCAUCUUAACUCUUACUCUAAAUGUCGAAUUGAUUAAGUUCAAGCAAUCUAGUGACGGAAUUUCAGCCAUCUCUUUGUUACCAUGCAGCAAUGACUUCAAGUGUAUCACUAGAUAAAUAUAAGUGACUGUUGAAAAGGGAAGUUUUGGUGUUUCAGCUAACAUGCGUUUUUAGGUUCAUCACCUCAGACUGAUAUGCUGUGUGAUUAUGUUGCGGUGACCAACAUUCACUGUGUGUAUAGCAUGCUGUAUUAGUGGAUAUCGUAACACUGUAGUCUGUGCCUAUUUAAACGUAAUCGCCACAGCCAUCAUAGCUCGCAAACAUGAGACUAUCAUUUGAACAAGUAUCGUUGGGGAUUUGGAAUAAUAGACAACAGGUCUCAAUCCUUAAUCAAGCACCCUCGUCAGAACAGCAGUGGGGACUCUUGUCAUCCGCCAUACGAAGGUGAAAGCCCAGGUUGUACUCCGGAAAUCUUGAUGUUGGAGCAGUGCAGAGAAAAUAUUCGAUACAACGAAAGACGUGUUUCAUGCCAUUAGUCCAGUUCAUAAUGUCCAGUGCAUCCUAGGGCGUUGACUCUUGGAGCAUAGGAUCAUGGACGGCAUAAUUACCAGCCAUGCUUGACUAUAGUCCACCAGACGCAGAAGGGAUACCUGUUCAGGUUUGUUCUUUUUUUUUUUUUUAACAUGGUCCUUCAGUGUCCUUUAUGGCUGUCACACAAUCAGGAGAGAGAUAUCUGCACCCAGCUCUCAAGAUGUAUUCAAGGUAGUUGACAGAUUCUCAGCAGAAUUGAAGCUCGGCAAGGAAUGUCCUGUGACCUGUCUCGGCCAAAUGUAUCCGUGGGGCCAAGGAAUCCAGUAUGAAGUCUUUUCAGUCUCUGGGUAAAGAAGCAGGUCAUCCGAAUACUGGAGGAUACAGGAUUGACAUGGCAAAGUUGGAUGAGACAAGUGCAAAUCGACAGCUAAAUAACCUGUGGCGAAAUCAACAAAUCCCAUAGGUAGUUCUUUCCAGCCAUAUUAUUAAUUCGUGUACGUAAACGUAGAGAAAUUUUGUGUCUCUUUAUGUACAAUGAUAGAGAAAUAUACAGAGCAUGAAUUGAGUUAGUAUAGAAGCUAGAAUUAGAAGGUUGUGCGGUUAAAACUGAGUCAAUAUCAGACAAUAUUAAAGCAAUGGAUUACACUACUUUAUUGAGUGACUAUUUUCCUCUGUAGAAAUUUGAUUUUUGUCCUCACUCUUCAAAAUCUCAAUGUUGUUGGUUCAGAUGCAGUAGACCGGAUGAUGUCUUAGCACUGACUAUCAGUAACUGUUGCAUGAAAGAGAUGUUAUCCUAAUCAAGGCCUUGUUGGAGUGACCAGAGAUACCAAUAGAUUGAACAGAAAAACUACUCAAAUGGCCAAUUCAAUUUGUUCAGGAUCUUGUUCCUCCUCCUGAAAACCCUUGGUUCCUUGAUUGGCACCAUACCCCAUCCUCUAAGAAUCAUUCUGCAAAAAGAGAUCAGAGGUUAUUUGAGGCAUAAAGUGAAGUUGUACUUGGUUCACAUUACUUUUUUGAGGACUCCUGCUCCUUCCCACAGGAGGCUGUCCUACUACGAGUCCAGUUACAUGACAGUGAAGGCAUCUGUCAGUCAUGACUUACUAUAAGUAUGGGAAAUAUGCCUUGAAUGUGCAUGUCAGGUAUCCUUUUACAGUCUCACUCUGUCACUAAGGCUUUGACCUGUGUCAGAUAUACACUUUCUGUUAAGUCAUAAAUUGUAUUACAAUUCUGGAUACAUUGAUGAAUACAUUUAUCUUAAAGGAUGUAUGUUGAAAGAUUUGACCCUCCCAACAUCUGAGUAUAACAAGGGGACUACUUUUGUUGGCAUUGGGCAGGGCUGUUCAUCAUAAUUUAACAUGUACAAAUAGUGAACUGUCAUCUUCAUAACUUACAUAAUUCACAGACGCACUAGGUAGGUUUACAUGAGGAGACACUGAACCUAGGAGCUGCAAGAGGGUGUAACAAUAAGCUUGCUUCUUCAUUUUUUACUUGAACAGUUUCUUAAGUCAUAGAGUAAACUUUUUGUUUUUCUUUUUUAAGCUUACUAAGAUUCAGAGGAAACUGAUGAGCCACCUAAAUCUACACCUUUGUCAUGUAGUCUUGAUUCCAUAGAAAACUAUCAAUGGUUAUGUUAUUCAUUAGAUACUCUCGUACAACAUCUUAUUUCCUUCUGUUUCUAUUUUUGUUAUUUUUUAUACUUUCCUAUCAUUCUGAUACUUAUUAGUUUUUUUUUCUUUUCUCUUAUUAAAACUGUUGUCCAUAGAAAAUCCAUCGUCAGAGCACUCAGCCAAAUUUAUAAAAAGGUUCAUCGUAAUAGAACCCCAGCUUCACUUGCACCCACUCCCUGGCUGACAUCUAAACUACAAACAUGAUUGGAACGAUGUCUAACUGUGGAACAGUUUCAAGCAUUUCAUUGAUCACUUUUCAUCCUUUUCUUGGUAGAUCUAGCUUCGAUUUUUCUUUGUAUUUAUUUAUUUAGCUAUUUUUAUUUUUAUUUUUAUUUUUUUACCACGUGGCUUUCUGAAUUUACUGGUUUGUGACCUCAGUGCGAGGAUUAUUACUUGCGAUUAGUAAAUCUAUGGUUAUUUGUGAGUAUGCAAAGCGUCAAAAGGUUCGUGUGGUUCAUCCAUCUGUACUUUAGGUCAAAUUCCAUCUUUAAAAAAAAUACAUCCUGAAGAAUUGAGACUGGUAUGGGUCGAUAUUAUGCAAUACGUAGAUACAUAAUCACACUACAACUGCCACUGAAUAAAUCGGGGCCGUCAAGCGGUCAGGCCGUUCAAACAGAGACAGAAGUACCUGUUAAUGACUGAAUCGGGGCCGUCGUGCGGUCAAUCCGUCAGACUAUUAAACAGAAACAACAAUAACACAACCGCGUCGUCCAACGACGUCUUCAUAUAAAAAACCAGAAGUACCACUCUGCUAAUGACUGAAUCGGGGCCGUCGAGCGGUCAGGCCGUCAGACACUUAGACAGAAGUACCAAUAACACAACCACGUCAUCCAAGGACGUCUUCUUAUAAAAAAACAGAGGUACCAAUUCCAUAUUUAUCAACAUGUCCUCCAAGGACUUCAGUAUCUAUUCUUGUCUCUCUGGACACCUAUAUUCACACUAUCCAUCUACUGCGAGUGGGCCCACCCUAAUAUUGAUUAAUAUCGACACAUCUCAGCAAGCAAAUUCAGGGAACUAUUAAUGUUGUAUUAAAUUAAAUACAGUAUCCAUUCAGACUAUCAAAAGUUUAGAAGCCAAUUGUACAAGGGCUACUAGGCAUCCCAUAGCAGAGGUAUCUUUUUUAAUGCUCAAAUCAGGUAAGCAAUACAAUCACAAGUGGAUUGAAUAAUUAAAGAUGCUUACCUUUUUUUGGUGAUUAAUCCUGUUCGUGACGCCAAAUUGUAAGGAUGCCUAGCCCAGGUUCACACUAGAAAGAAUCGAAGGUCCACACGAAUGAUCAUUUUGACAAGCUUUACUGAUUACAUAUCUGGGUUACAGCUUCAGCAGGCCACAAGUGUGACCAACAGUGGUCCUCUCCAAGUGUAGCAAAGAGUGACCACCCCAAGUGUAGCAAAAAGCGGUCCACCCCCAAGUGUGGCCAACAUGAGUGUAGCCAAGAGUGGUCCAAGACCAUUCAAGUAUAUAUAGCGAUUCACAAUCCUAAACAUACUGUUGGUAUUUAGUUGACCCUAAGAGAAAACCAUGUAUGGUAAAAACAAAGGACAACAUAUUUCAAAAGCCUUAGAUGAACAUGUGGAAGGUCCCAAGAAGGAAAUAUCAUGGCAAACAUAUUUUGGGGACCUACAUGGUGUAAAUAAUGUGUACAGGGUUCCUUGCUCAGGGAUGGUUGUAGGAGGCCCCCGGCUCCAGCAAUCUAACACCAAAGUGUCUGGGGUAUUUGAGUGACACAGCUCCACCACUCUAAAGGCUGACAUGACUGGCUAAAGAAACUCAUCCUAACAGUGCUGAAACCUGAAAAAGCAAUGCUAAACUGCUAAAAAAAAAUGGAGGAAGGUUUAAAUGUAAACUUGGUUAAAGAGCUGGAGAAAGAAAAGUAGAAGUUGGAUGAAAGUGAAAAUUGCUGAAGUACAAAUAGUAUGAAUGUGCUUCAUAAAUUAAAAUUGCAUUCAUGCUAAAUAAGGCUAGAAAAACUGUCUGAAAUUGCAAAAAAAAAAUGGAUAAGGAAGAAAAUUACCUUAAAACACAGAAAAGUAAGAAGCGGCAUAAGUUUAAGUUGAAGUACUAGAAGAAGUAUGAUAAUAGGUAGUUGUACUAGUGAUAUUAGUAGUCAUGUAAGCAGUAGAAGUAGUUUUAGAAUAGAAGAAGUAGAAGUCAAAGCAGUAGAGCUCGUGGUAGAAGUAAAAAAAAUAUUAAGAGAAGCAAGAGCAGUGGAGGUAGAAGUGAAGAUACAAGUUAAAGUGAUAUAAGUAGUAAUUGUAGUGGUAGAACUGGGAUUUUGUUUGAAGAAUUAAAACAUACAUAAAUAAUGAGAAUGAUUUUGAAGAGGGAAAAAUUUUUAAUAAUUAGAAAUCCUAAAGUGUUAAACAGGUUUGAAGUAUCAGAAAGGUUUGAAUCAGUUUGAAAGAGUUUGGAUUUGUCUGACGAAUUUAAUAAUGCAUGAAUAAUGAGAAUAAUUUUAAAGUGGGUAAAAGUUAAAUGAAUAAAAUACGGAGUACAUCCCAUAAUGUCCUCAAUGAGCUGAAUUUUUGAAGCCCAGAAUGGUUUCUGUAGCUCAAAGUUUGUGGGUGGAGAUAGGUGGUGAAGCAGACACAUAUUAACUGUGUGUACAAGCAGGUCUUUUAGACACAGACACAGACACACGCACACACAUUGUCAGACUGUUUGUGUGUGUGUCUCGUUAAUGAUUGCAUCCUAAACAGCUGUGAGAUCAAAGGCAUUAACUGACCUACUGUUUGAAUGAGAAGCUGCCUCUGGACUUCUUCACAUAGCGUGAUUUCCUUAUAUCCCAGAAUGAAAAUAAGAACAUUGUACGAAUCCUCCGCCCUUCAUGAACACAAUGAAUGUGGCCACAACAGCGAGUUAAAAGUCUAGACGUUCGGAUGGUUAUCUUUAAAGUGAUGCAUUGACAUCACAUAAAAGUCCUGCCCACCAUGUCAAAGACUCUUCGUGCUUAAGAGCAGAAAAGCUCAUGUUAUUGUGAGAAAUCUCUAUAAGAGAUUUUUUUAUGUCUUCUGGGCUAUUUAAAGCCGUCAGUCUGAAACUUAAUUGACAGUUUCUUUUAUACUAACCAAUGCUUUCUUAUUUCUUCUUUAAAUCUGCACAGAAGAGUCAACCGUUUCCUGUAAAAGGAGAAGCUCCGAGAAUUGCGUGCUCGGGCUUCAACAGGAGGUAAGAAACGCAUUUAACUUAUGAUGACAGUAAAAUGCAAACUCAAAUUUAUAGGGGUGUGAUAUUAAAGAGUAGUUUACCAAUGUGUCUCUAAAACAAUCUUUUACCUCUUUUGCAUUUAAUAUGCAGAGUGUAACAUUUGAAACAUGACAGAGACCUCCCAGCAGAUUAUAAUCUGAGACAGUUCAGAGUUAAAUCUGUGACAGUGCCAGCAAAAAUCUAAAGAUUCGCAAAUUUAGGAUUUGAUUUUGGACUUACACUGUGUUGUGUUUCAUACUCUUUUUGUCACAAGACACAUGUAUUUAUGUGAUACAUUUCAGUGGUUAUUUUAACUGAAUAAGACAAUUCAAAGGCUUCACAUAAGACAUUUACUGAUCAAUUAAUCAGUCAGACAAAGGAAAUGUGUAAAAACACUAAAUGAAAUAAAGAAGUUUUAUCAUCGUUUGCUCUUACUGGGAGUCUCUAGUCAAAAACUAGUAAAGUCAGGUAUGAUAGAUAAGACACUCCUUUAUUAGUCCCACAAGGGGAAAUUCCCAGAAAGGGAAACAAAGACCAUUUUAAUUUACUGUGUUUGAAAUUGAAGGAAAAACAUGUUUUGUAUGAGGCCUUUCCCAGAUAAUAUGCAUUAAAAAAGCUUUGCUUUAAAAACGCUGUGUCAACUUAAAGAGAUUCAGCACUUAGGUUUUUAAUGAAUAAGUGUGAACAAAGAGGGGGUUCAUUUAUCAAUAACAACAACACAAAAACAGGGAAUAACCUUCAGGUAUUUUAAACCACUGUGAGUGUGCUGUAUUAUUUUUGAUACAUAAAGACACUUUUUCAGUUUGACUCUGAUACUUCCUCAAAGACCAUCCAGUGCGUGUUUAUUGUAUUUUAUCGUCUGAAUAUCACCAUGGUUUGAGUCUGUGUGACUGUCAUGUGUCUCUGCAGAUAUUUCUGUUUAUAGAUUUAUUUUGUUCAUUAAAAUAACCAACCUGUGUUUCUGUGUUGACCAGUGACACUGCGUCAGAGGCUUCUAAUGCAGAAAAGUGCUGCCCAACGAACUUUUGGCUGCACAGGCUGUUUGGUCAACCUCUGGUAUGUUUCAGAGCUGUUAAAAUAAGAUCAUUUUAUAAGUGUGACAUUUAAAAUCAGACACUACAAAUAUUUGACACAGUGGGUUUUCAUUUUUAUAUUUGUUGUUACUCCACAGAGAAAAGUCAGAAGUCUAAUCAGCCUUCAGCGGAGGUGAGUAAACUGCUCCAACAAUCAGCUGUUUAUUUGUGCAGCCACAAAAGCUUCUGAUAAAUGUUGACUAGUCACUGCAGACUCCUUAAAAACAUCACUAGAGGUUGUUAAAACAAAUGUCACCACACGGUAAUGGUGUGUGCUUGUGUCUGCAGAGAUGUCACCUCCAAUGGUCUGGCUGGCUCCACAGCACCCCCACCUGGGGAGAAAAACAAGAAACUGAAGGAGAAGAAAUGGAGUUGUUCUUGGUUUUUGAAGUGCUGUAGUGUAAGUAAAGCAUAGGAAUACCAGUCUGGACUUCAGUGUUGUUAUAAGCAUUAGUGUUGGUUUAUCUUUCAGUUGAUUCUGUUACUGACAAAUCAAAAUUAUUUUUACUCCAUUAGAGAGAAAAGCGUGUGUCUCCUCUCUCUGAUCAUAAAGAUCAGUAAAAGCCUCCUCGGGAACUCCAGAGAAGGUAACAAACUCAUUUUGUUCACAGGAUGGAUCAAUUUUGGUGUCACCUGAUGAGUUAAAUCAUCACGUGACACAAAUCAGGUGUUAUCAAUUCUUUCUUAAAGCUCCCGUGAGUAAUUUUUGGUUUGUGUUGCUUCUUAUGCUUCUUUUCAUAACCUCUCUUUCAAAUUGUGUUAAGUCUUGUUUUCAAACAAAAAAUCUCCCUGCUCAAUUUUAAAAGUCAUUGGUCAUCUUCACCUGAGAUAUUUUUGAAAAAGCCUUUUUAAAAAGCUUCAAUUUAGCUAAAUCAUCUGACACCUACACCCCUGACAACAGUUUCUAACCUCACAAAUAACUUUGUAGAGAUGAACAAACCCUUCAAAGGUGGUCUGAUUUGCUUUUUAAGGCCACACAGAGGCAUCCCUAUCAAUAUCAGUCAGUUAUAAUCGGCUGAAAAUUCCCCACAGUAGCUUUAACAUGAAAUCACUUGUACAUGAAAAUCAGUAUAUCUGCUAAAAAGGCCCGGCCCCUUUUUUUUCCCCCCCUUGAAACACACUCACAGUCUGUUCCUCAGUCUUUAAAUAAUUUAUUUAUAUAUUAAGAAGCGCUGUAAUGCUGUAGAAUAGCCAACUUGAUUUUUUGACUUUAAAUUUAAAUGAAAAGAGCAGUUGAAUACACACUUUCUGUACCAGAUUUAAUGUGGAGGUUGAUAUCUCAAUAAAGAAAGUUAUGGUUUGAGUUAGCUUGAGGUUAUCGCUUUCAUCCCCUUUUUAACUUUAUGUUCUUACUUGGGACAUGUUUUGAUUGGCAUUGAAAGUCAAUAAGGAUUAUUGGCAGUGCUGGUAAUGUGAAUUAAAAACUCUUGAGUGUUGUGUUGGUCAAAUCUCGUCUCCUUAAAUUCAAUCCCACUUCGAUCUCAAUACUGAUUUUUGCUAAAAUAACCUUCUUUUCCACGUUUUUGAGGUCAACUGUAAAAUAGGAUUCAGUACAAGUAGAUUACUAGCCCCACACACUUGUAGCUCUUUGCUGUUCAUUGUUAUUAAGUGGAAAUGCUGAUUAAGCAUUUCCACUUAUUGUUCUUCCCGUCGGCCAUUUUGUUUAUUAUUGUUAUUAUUAUUAUUAUUAUUAUUAUUAUUAUUAUUAUUAUUAUUAUUCCGCCAAUUUUCGUCCGCUUCUAACUCCUUCCUACUUUGUGCUAUUUAAACCAUUCAAACUUUAAACUGUUCCACUCCUUCAGGACAUGAGGGCUCGUACUUUUUACCUUUCUACCUUUUAUACUUUUUUUUUUUUUUUUGACAAAAGAGGUUUCAAAUUAUUAAAUCGUACCCCUCGGCCAGCAGGUGACCAACUGUCCAUAUAGCCGAAAAUCUCUCCCAUUGGCCCUAAUGUGA